AAAAAACUAAAAUUAUAAUUGUUUUAGAACGAAAACCACCAUUAUUACUAGUAAUUUUAUUAAUUAAAAAGCUAGAAAUUAUAUAAUUUUAUUGAUAUGCCAACAAUAACAUGGUGAAUUACAUGUUAUUAUUUUCACUCUCAAUUUUUACAACAUGAGAUGCAUAGAAAUGGGAACUGUGCCGAGCAAGUGCAACAUUUGAAUUUUUUGCAAAGUCCAAAACCGCAACCUGAAAUUGUCAAAAACAUAUAUAAAAACAUUAAGAAAAAUUUCGUCAAAAAGGUCGAUUUCUAUUAAAAUAAAAUUAUUACUUAUUUAGCAACAUGACGAAAAAUAUAACAAAAAAAUAUAAGAAAUUUCUUACUUGCAACAGAUACACGAGUGCUUCGACUCGCACCAGACAACUCUAGAGUUAUUGGUGAUGGUGUUUUUGGUGUUGCUAAAGUUAAUGGAGAAAAAAGUACAAACAAGACAAUGAUCAUACAACCCGUCACAUUAGCUGAUUUUGUCAUCUUAAUCAACUAUUUUUGUUGUGCUUGUAGGUAUUUUGUUUUUCUUAGUUG
This 563-nucleotide long non-coding RNA is filed under the name Capsicum annuum. Its description in RNAcentral is "long non-coding RNA (CANN_LNC001871)". The record is from RNAcentral. Lineage: Eukaryota; Viridiplantae; Streptophyta; Magnoliopsida; Solanales; Solanaceae.